CUACGGGGGGCUCCAGCAAGGAAUAUUGCCCAAUGGACGGAAGUCUGAGGCAGCAACACCGCGUGAAGGACGAAGGCCUUCGGGUUGUAAACUUCUUUUCUGGGAGAAGAGAGAGGACGGUAUCCCAGGAUUAAGUCUCGGCUAACUACGUGCCAGCAGCCGCGGUAAAACGUAGGAGGCAAGCGUUAUCCGGAAUUACUGGGCGUAAAGCGCAUGCAGGCGGUCUUUUAAGUCGGACGUGAAAGCUCCCGGCUCAACUGGGAGAGGCCGUUCGAAACUAGAAGACUAGAGGGUGGUAGAGGUGAGUGGAAUUCCCGGUGUAGUGGUGAAAUGCGUAGAUAUCGGGAGGAACACCAGUGGCGAAGGCGGCUCACUGGGCCACAACUGACGCUCAGAUGCGAAAGCUAGGGGAGAGAACGGGAUUAGAUACCCGUGUAGUC
RNAcentral lists this ribosomal RNA (440 nucleotides) under uncultured bacterium. RNAcentral's name for it is "partial 16S ribosomal RNA". It matches the Rfam family "Bacterial small subunit ribosomal RNA", at positions 339 to 795 of the family's 1533-position model. The record is from RNAcentral.